This 723-nucleotide ribosomal RNA is filed under the name Triticum aestivum (bread wheat). Its description in RNAcentral is "partial small subunit ribosomal RNA". The record is from RNAcentral. Lineage: Eukaryota; Viridiplantae; Streptophyta; Magnoliopsida; Poales; Poaceae.
AUGGAUUCGGCUCGCCCCCGGAGGGUUCCCAACAAAUCCCGCCGCCCGGACUGGAGAGAGGAGCUUAGGGAAAAUUGCAUGACAAGAGUUAAAAAUGAGAGGGUUCACUUGCUCUGGAAGAUGAGGAACCAAGGGCAGCCGCCUGCUAAUGACAUGAAAACGGUCGAAUCUGCAGUCAGGAACAUUAUCUCAGAUGAGGUACAGAAACUCAAAGGGAAUGUGAAUGGAAAAGAGGACCAAGAAGUUGAUAUGAUAUGGGAAUAUGAAGGGCCACAAGAAGCUAUGCCCGCUGAAUAUGAAAGUGAAGAUAUGUUGCUUGAAAUGGAAAGACUUCUUUAUGAAGAUCUGCGGGAAGAAAUGAUUCGAAAAGAAAUAGAGGCCCUUGAUGUGGAAGAUGCAUACUUAGCUCAGGCUGUUUUCGAACAUAUGCAAUUAAAGGACGAGGGUGUGGAAAGUGCUAAGGUCUGGUGUCCAGUAUGCAAACAAGGAGAGCUACGAGAAACUCAUAAUCUCAUACACUGUACUUUGUGUAAGAUACGGCUUGACCUUGAAGAAGAUAAGGUAAACCUAGAUUUCUUGCGGGAGCGGUUGGCUAAUGUCCAUAUGGAGCACUUAGACAGAGGAUGCACAUUGUCACCCAAGUUCUGCUUGCAUGAAAUGUUUGGGUUGAAUGCGCUUUACAUCCGUUGCGAUGAAUGCAGCACUUUCGAAGUUGUGGUGUAA